CAGUCGCCGCGGUAAUACGUAGGGUGCAAGCGUUAAUCGGAAUUACUGGGCGUAAAGCGUGCGCAGGCGGUUAUAUAAGACAGAUGUGAAAUCCCCGGGCUCAACCUGGGAACUGCAUUUGUGACUGUAUAGCUAGAGUACGGCAGAGGGGGAUGGAAUUCCGCGUGUAGCAGUGAAAUGCGUAGAUAUGCGGAGGUACACCGAUGGCGAAGGCAAUCCCCUGGGCCUGUACUGACGCUCAUGCACGAAAGCGUGGGGAGCAAACAGGAUUAGAUACCCCUGUAGUCCUGUCUCUUAUACA
RNAcentral lists this ribosomal RNA (301 nucleotides) under uncultured bacterium. RNAcentral's name for it is "partial 16S ribosomal RNA". It matches the Rfam family "Bacterial small subunit ribosomal RNA", at positions 509 to 809 of the family's 1533-position model. The record is from RNAcentral.